This 500-nucleotide ribosomal RNA is filed under the name uncultured bacterium. RNAcentral's name for it is "partial 16S ribosomal RNA". It matches the Rfam family "Bacterial small subunit ribosomal RNA", at positions 30 to 523 of the family's 1533-position model. The record is from RNAcentral.
AUUGAACGCUGGCGGCAUGCCUUACGCAUGCAAGUCGAACGGCAGCGCGGACUUCGGUCUGGCGGCGAGUGGCGAACGGGUGAGUAAUACAUCGGAACGUACCCUGUUGUGGGGGAUAACUAGUCGAAAGAUUAGCUAAUACCGCAUACGACCUGAGGGUGAAAGUGGGGGACCGCAAGGCCUCACGCAGCAGGAGCGGCCGAUGUCUGAUUAGCUAGUUGGUGGGGUAAAGGCCCACCAAGGCGACGAUCAGUAGCUGGUCUGAGAGGACGAUCAGCCACACUGGGACUGAGACCCGGCCCAGACUCCUACGGGAGGCAGCAGUUGGGAAUUUUGGACAAUGGGGGCAACCCUGAUCCAGCAAUGCCGCGUGUGUGAAGAAGGCCUUCGGGUUGUAAAGCACUUUUGUCCGGAAAGAAAUCGCGCUGGUUAAUACCUGGCGUGGAUGACGGUACCGGAAGAAUAAGCACCGGCUAACUACGUGCCAGCCGCCGCAGUAA